UGAGUCCAGCGGUACAACUGAA
Molecule: non-coding RNA, 22 nt
Filed under: Arabidopsis thaliana (thale cress)
Lineage: Eukaryota; Viridiplantae; Streptophyta; Magnoliopsida; Brassicales; Brassicaceae
Source: RNAcentral